GGGUCAGUAGGUUGGUCGUGCCACCGGUACGUACUGGUCUCACUGAUUCCUCCUUCCUGAAGAACCGUAAUGCCAUUAAUUUGGUGUUGCGGGGAGACAGGACUGUUACUUUGAAAAAAUUAGAGUGUUUAAAGCAAGCUAACGCUUGAAUGCAUUAGCAUGGAAUAAUGAAAUAGGACGAUCGAUCCUAUUUUGUUGGUUUCUAGGAUUGACGUA
Molecule: ribosomal RNA, 216 nt
Filed under: Glomeromycotina sp.
Lineage: Eukaryota; Fungi; Glomeromycota
Description: partial small subunit ribosomal RNA
Rfam family: Eukaryotic small subunit ribosomal RNA (bases 40-216)
Source: RNAcentral